This 1438-nucleotide long non-coding RNA is filed under the name Mytilus galloprovincialis (Mediterranean mussel). The record is from RNAcentral. Lineage: Eukaryota; Metazoa; Mollusca; Bivalvia; Mytilida; Mytilidae.
CUACGGAUUUUUGGACUCCAAAAAUUGGGGCGAGCGAGCGAUUUGAAAAUUUUAAUAAAAAAAUAUUUUUUUUGCAAAUUUUUGAGGCGAAGCUUCAAAAGUAAAGGCCAGCGAUUAUAUUUUUUUUUUGUAAACAUAAAAUAGUAGGUUUUGACAAUAUUAAAACUUGAUUUAUCACUUGUACUUUGGCAUUUCUUUAAUUUAUGAAGUAUUUUUCCCCGUUCACCAAUAAAUAAUUGAAUAAUUAGAUUUGGUAUAUGUAUGUGUGCCAAUUAAUGAGACAAUUCUCCAUCCAAGUCAUAAUCAGGUUGGGAACAACCCCUCUAUUUUAUAAAUAUCCUUUUUAUGAGGGGUCAAUAUAAGUUGCAAUAUAUUUUUUUGUAAAUAACACUUUUUAGUACAAAAGAGCUCAUAUUUUCCCAAAGAACUAUAUAUCUAUCUGGUAUUAAAUGGUCAAAACAUGCCCAAGAAUUUUGUAAUAUUCCUGGACUUGGGCCAUGUUAACACAUUUACUUUAAUAUUAUUCAAAAUAAGUGGACCCCUCUUUAAGAAUAGUAAUGUUGUUUAAAAUAUGAUGUAUUUCUCCUCUUUUUAAGUAAAUUUUUUUAAGUUCUUCAAAGGAUUUGUAUAGUAACACUAUGCAAAUCCUUGGUAUUUCUUUUUUUCUUUUUUACAACAGUAAAGUGACCCCAUAUGUGCUCUGUCUGAGGGAUAAUAGCAAAUACAGGUCAUAGUACGUACGACAGGGCUUUGACCCAGACCAAACAGCAAGCUAUAAGGGACCCCAAACUGAUUAUAAGUGUACACAAUUCGAACAGGAAAACCAACGAUCUAAUUUAUAUAUUAUAUACAAACGGGAAAAUACCAAAUAAUAUUUAUGAACAUCAACCAACGAUAUCUAACUGCUGAACGACAGGCCCCUGAAUCAAUCAGACAGGUGCAUAAACAUGCAGGGGGUAUGGAUAGUUUUGUAUCGCCAGCAUAUUGCAGUUGAAGGCAUUUCUUUCCGAAGUUCUUUGAAGUUUAUUACUAACAACGAACAUAUUUUGAUAGGGAAUGUAAGUAAGGGGGAAGGAAACCAAUGUUUUGUUCUGUACAGGUAUUUUCUUCUGUUUUCUAUUUAUAUCGGAGCACUCUCAUUUGGGAUAAAUGGGUUUCAUGCUGAAUCAAAUAUUAUCACAGACAUUGACACAGUGUACUUGGGUGCUUAUAUGUUUAAAAUCGUUAUAAAUACAGGUUUAUAGAUUGUGAUUAUAAAAACAAGUGCAAAUAUCUGUUUAUAAUUUUUACAAAAAAAAACGGUGCGGGAAAUGGACACGAUUACAUUUCCGGAUGCGGGAAGCGGGAAUAUAAAAAAAAUAAAAAAAUUCUACUUUGAAAAAAAUAGGUGCGGGCGGGUCCGUCGAACAAGGAAUUAAAUUGGUGUGGCCUAAGCUUU